GGAGAUGAAGACGCCUUCUGCUGCACUCAACAGAGCUGAAGGUAAGUGAGGAGUCCAGACAGACUGCAGCCGUACGGCUGUGAAUGAUGUGAUGUGUCGGUGUAUCGCGUGGUGAAAGCUGUGAUUUACAGUUAGUACCUUGAGAUAAACCUCUGAUUCUUGCUGUUAUCAUGUACAUGUACACAGAGACGCAUAUAAAAGUACUUACACAGAGACACUCUAACAUGUUGGUAUGCACAGAGACUCGCUAAACAUGAAAAGCAUAUACAGAAAUACACUUUAACAACCACAUUAUAUAAUGUAGAUACAAACAUGAAAUAACUAAAUGAAGGUGCAUCAAAUUAAAAUAAUUGGAUCUAUGAAUGUUUUCUCACAUCCCGAUGAUCCUCCUCACGUCUCUUCUCCUUGUCUCUGCAGACCAACAGGACGCAAACAGGACAUCAUCAGGACGUCACGUCACCGGGGCGCGCUGAGAGUCGACCCCUCAGGAGCAGCUCCAGAUCCACACAAAGACUCACUAACGUUUCUAUUUUCCAACAGGCCCUUUUCCCCCUCUAUCACUUUCUGGCCCUCUCCCCACCCUCCACCCUCUCUCUUCUUUUCCCCCUCUAUCUGUUUCUGCCCCCACUCUCCCAUUGUCCCCCCCACUCUCUUCCCCCCGCCCCCAUCACUCUCCCUUCCUCCCCACUUCAUUUUUUUCAUUUUUCAUUUUUUUCAUUUUUCAUUUUUUUCAUUUUUCAUUUUUUUCAUUUUUCAAACGAACAAAACGUUUGACCUGGAUUUGCUCCAUAUAUGUGUGUGUGUGUGUGUGUGUGUGUGUGUGUGUGUGUGUGUGUGUGUGAGAGACUUUCUUCAGGUGUGCUGGGGACGUCCCUCCUGCAGCUGACCAUCAUGGGGGUAAAUGGCUGUGCCGAGCCAGUGUGGGGGGAUCUUCAGUGGAAGCCAGAGCGGAACCAGAGACGCGUGAAAAAGGAAAAGGAAAAAGGAGCCGUACUCGUCUUUUGGCAAUAAAUGUUUCCUGAUUCCUGUUGGAGAUUUUGUUCUACACACUAACAACAUUAACGUGUUACUAACUUUUCUUUCUUUCUUCUCAGGAACCAAACAUGAAAAGCAUAUACAGAAAUACACUUUAACAACCACAAUGUAUAAUGUAGAUACACACAUGAAAUAACUAAAUGAAGACCAACAGGACGCCAUCAGGACGCCAUCAGGACAUCAUCAGGACGUCACGUCACCGGGGCGCGCUGAGAGUCGACCCCUCAGGAGCAGCUCCAGAUCCACACAAAGACUCACUAACGUUUCUAUUUACCCACAGGCCCUUUUCCCCCUCUAUCACUUUCUGGCCCUCUCCCCACCCUCCACUCUCUCCCUCUCAUUUUCCCCCUCUAUGUGUUUCUGCCCCACUCUCCCGUUUAUUGUGUUUUUUUUUUUGUUAAAUAUAUCACGUGUUUAUUAUUAUUUGAAAAUAAAUUUUGAUAAAAAUAAAA
Gasterosteus aculeatus aculeatus (three-spined stickleback) is the source of this 1487-nucleotide long non-coding RNA. Lineage: Eukaryota; Metazoa; Chordata; Actinopteri; Perciformes; Gasterosteidae. The record is from Ensembl.